UUGCAUCCUUACCUUUUUCCUCCUCUCUGUUCUAUUCGACUGCCACCACCAGGGGUGAUCAAUCUAGGUAAGUUCAUCUGGAAUCUUGAAGAUUCAUUGAUGAUGGUCUAAUUAGUUUCCUUUGUGAUGUUCUUCCUAAUGCUGGACUCGUGGGAGGCAUAGGAACAGCUCCUUGAUGGAUUUCCUCUAGGCAGAUUACUGGUCUCUAUAUUCUUAUGACUGGGGUCUUGGGUAGCUCUCGGGUGAAGAGUUAAGGGUUCAAUUGAGGAAUUCUUGGUGGUUGUGUGCAGAGAUUGGUAGAGGGCUGUUGAGUUACUGGAUUUGUUGCCUCCCUCAAGGACUUUGAUCUGGACGAGCAGCGUGACGUGAGGUGGUUCUGUUGGAUACGGACUUUUA
Long non-coding RNA from Zingiber officinale, 396 nucleotides. RefSeq lists it as uncharacterized. The transcript has 3 exons. NCBI's taxonomy places the organism in Eukaryota, Viridiplantae, Streptophyta, Magnoliopsida, Zingiberales, Zingiberaceae. The record is from RefSeq and is a predicted model, not a curated record.